GCCCGCCUAGCUCAAUCGGAUAGAGCGUCAGACUCUUAUAGCGGGUGCACGGUCGCACCAUGGACGACGACAAUCUGAAGGCUGCGAGUUCGACCCUCGCGGUGGGCU
Molecule: non-coding RNA, 108 nt
Organism: Russula aff. rugulosa BPL654
Lineage: Eukaryota; Fungi; Basidiomycota; Agaricomycetes; Russulales; Russulaceae
Source: the annotation of a GenBank genome assembly